This 462-nucleotide long non-coding RNA is filed under the name Phoenix dactylifera (date palm). RNAcentral's name for it is "long non-coding RNA (PDAC_LNC003231)". Lineage: Eukaryota; Viridiplantae; Streptophyta; Magnoliopsida; Arecales; Arecaceae. The record is from RNAcentral.
GAGAUAUUGUUUGAUGGGUUAGUUAAUAAAAUAAAGUUUGCAUAUUAUUAGUUAAAUUAUUCUGCUACCUAUUUAUGAUAUCAUUUUGAGAUAUUUUGCAAGCUUGUGGAAAAAGUUUUCUAUGAGUAUACGGCGGUUGAUGCGACACCUAGCUCGCGAUCUCAAGUCGAAGGCAUGACAAUUAUUAUGGUAUUAGAGCGUAAGUGGAUGAAUCAUAAGUUAUAGAAUGAAACAAAACAUGAAUGUAGGUGGAUAGACACUAAGGACAUUGGGAUGUUAGUUUAUGAUGAUUGUGAUAAGCUAUUCUAAAUACUUGUAAUUAAUUGGCAAGCUUUUUAUGGGUAUACUGCUAUCUGAUGGAUACAGGUCAGGAUGCCUCCAUGUUGGAUGAGAAAGACUACUCUUGGUGCUACUGAUAAGGCACCAAACCAGCAAGAUGGCGGCACACCCCAACAGCUUGGU